RNAcentral lists this ribosomal RNA (1025 nucleotides) under Galerucinae sp. 5 ACP-2013. Its description in RNAcentral is "16S ribosomal RNA". Lineage: Eukaryota; Metazoa; Arthropoda; Insecta; Coleoptera; Chrysomelidae. The record is from RNAcentral.
AAGAAAUUUUUUAUUAUAAUUUUAUGAGUUUUAAUUUUUAGUUUAAAAAAAAGUUAAUUUUAUUAUUUUUUUGAAAAAAUUUAUUUUAUUAUAGUUUAAUAGUAUUGAGAAAGAAAAUAUUUUUUAUUAAAAAGAAAAAUUUAAUUUUUGUACCUUGUGCAUCAGGGUUUAUUAAAUAUUAAUAUAAAUAUUUAUAAAUCUCGAAUUUAAAAGAUCUAAUAAAAUAUGAUUAUUAUUGUAAAAUAAUUAAAAUUAAAUUUUUUAUUAGUAAUGAAACGUUAUUCGUUUUUAAAUAUAUCUAGUUUUUUAAGAAAUUAAUUUAAUUAAUUUAUUAUUAAUAUAUUUUUAUAUGAUUAAAAUUAUAUUUAUAAUAAAAAAUAUUUUUAGGGAUGAGCUUAAAAAUAUAUUAUUAUUAGAAUUUAAAGUUUAAUUAAAAAAAUUAGAAUUAAAAAUUUUCAUAUUUUAAAAUAUGUUAUUAUUUAUUAUUAUAUAAUAUUAUUUAUAUAUUCUAUAAUUAUUUUAUUAAAAUAUAAAUUUAAAUUUUAAAAAUUUAGAAAUUAUGAUAAAAUUAGUAUAUUUUUAUGUUAAAUUUAAAAAAUUUUUAGGUUUAAUAAAGGAAUUCGGCAAAUUAUUUUUCACCUGUUUAUUAAAAACAUGUCUUUUUGUUUAAAUAUAAAGUCUAGCCUGCCCAAUGAUGAAUUUAAUGGCCGCGGUAUUUUGACCGUGCUAAGGUAGCAUAAUCAUUAGUUUUUUAAUUGAAAGCUGGAAUGAAGGGUUGGAUGAAAAAAUAACUGUCUCUGUUAAAAUAUAGUAGAAUUUUAUUUUUAAGUUAAAAAGCUUAAAUAUUUUUAAAAGACGAGAAGACCCUAUAGAGUUUUAUAAUUAAUAAUAUUUAUUUUUUUGGAAUUAAAUUUAAUAAUAAAAAUUAAUUAUUAGAUUGGGGUGAUUAAAAAAUUUAAUAAACUUUUUUUAUAUUUUUAUAUUGAUUUAUAAAUUGUUGAUCCAAUAAUUUUGAUUAUAAGAUA